RNAcentral lists this ribosomal RNA (924 nucleotides) under Listeria monocytogenes. RNAcentral's name for it is "bacterial LSU rRNA". It matches the Rfam family "Bacterial large subunit ribosomal RNA", at positions 1701 to 2623 of the family's 2925-position model. The record is from RNAcentral. Lineage: Bacteria; Bacillati; Bacillota; Bacilli; Caryophanales; Listeriaceae.
CUCGUUAAGGAACUCGGCAAAAUGACCCCGUAACUUCGGGAGAAGGGGUGCUCUAUUAGGGUGCAAGCCCGAGAGAGCCGCAGUGAAUAGGCCCAGGCGACUGUUUAGCAAAAACACAGGUCUCUGCAAAACCGUAAGGUGACGUAUAGGGGCUGACGCCUGCCCGGUGCUGGAAGGUUAAGAGGAGUGCUUAGCUUCGGCGAAGGUACGAAUUGAAGCCCCAGUAAACGGCGGCCGUAACUAUAACGGUCCUAAGGUAGCGAAAUUCCUUGUCGGGUAAGUUCCGACCCGCACGAAAGGCGCAACGAUCUGGGCACUGUCUCAACGAGAGACUCGGUGAAAUUAUAGUACCUGUGAAGAUGCAGGUUACCCGCGACAGGACGGAAAGACCCCGUGGAGCUUUACUGCAACCUGAUAUGGAAUGUUUGUACCGCUUGUACAGGAUAGGUAGGAGCCGAAGAGACGUGUGCGCUAGCAUACGAGGAGGCAAUGGUGGGAUACUACCCUGGCUGUAUGACCAUUCUAACCCGCCACGCUUAGCGCGUGGGGAGACAGUGUCAGGUGGGCAGUUUGACUGGGGCGGUCGCCUCCUAAAGAGUAACGGAGGCGCCCAAAGGUUCCCUCAGAAUGGAUGGAAAUCAUUCGCAGAGUGUAAAGGCACAAGGGAGCUUGACUGCGAGACUGACAAGUCGAGCAGGGACGAAAGUCGGGCUUAGUGAUCCGGUGGUUCCGCAUGGAAGGGCCAUCGCUCAACGGAUAAAAGCUACCCCGGGGAUAACAGGCUUAUCUCCCCCAAGAGUCCACAUCGACGGGGAGGUUUGGCACCUCGAUGUCGGCUCGUCGCAUCCUGGGGCUGUAGUCGGUCCCAAGGGUUGGGCUGUUCGCCCAUUAAAGCGGCACGCGAGCUGGGUUCAGAACGUCGUG